CGUACAACGUGCUGGAUUACUGGGCGUAAGAGCGCGUAGGCGGCCAGGUAAGUCCGGUGUGGAAUCCCUCGGUUCAACUGAGGACCCGCAUCGGAAACUACCUGGCUUGAGUCCAGGAGGGGAGGGUG
This 128-nucleotide ribosomal RNA is filed under the name uncultured delta proteobacterium. RNAcentral describes it as "partial 16S ribosomal RNA". The stretch from base 14 to 128 matches the Rfam family "Bacterial small subunit ribosomal RNA", at positions 548 to 663 of the family's 1533-position model. The record is from RNAcentral. Lineage: Bacteria; Deltaproteobacteria.